Long non-coding RNA from Ostrea edulis (European flat oyster), 1072 nucleotides. RefSeq lists it as uncharacterized. Lineage: Eukaryota; Metazoa; Mollusca; Bivalvia; Ostreida; Ostreidae. The record is from RefSeq and is a predicted model, not a curated record. The transcript has 2 exons.
AGAUUAAAACAUGAUGUUAUUUGAAUAUGACAUACACGCUGUAUCCCACGUAUAAUUUUAUGCAAUACGUAUUUAUUGUGCUCCACGCAAUCCUACAUCUGAAAGAAGUCCGACCAACAGAUUAAAGAUGCAUUUACUUUUUGUCUCCAUCUCUCUGUGCAUUAUUUGUGUUCUGGGGGAUAGAACUUUUUGUGAACAGGAAUGUUAUCCCUACAGAACAAAAUGUCACACGGACUGUAGGAAGGACUAUAUGUCCAACUCUUUCAAGAAGAAGUUCCAGGCAUGUUCCAAGAAAUGUGAAGCUGAAUUUAGGAAAUGUGAUGACACCUGUGAGUGCAAGGCCUUGAACAAAAGAGAGCGAGCUGGAUGUAGGCACAGCUGCAAGAAUUAUGUGUAUUUGAACGAUUUUGACAGAAAGCAGUGCUUGAUAGAGUGUAAAUUCGAUUUCAGUGAAAACUAUAGUAAAUGUUGAAGAGUAUGUCAAUUGACUUUUCGUGUGGUCAUCAUGAUAAUUGUAGAUUUUCAAUUAACAAUUUAUUUGUAGCCAUCAUCUACCUUUUCCAUUUGUCAGGAAACUGGUGUUUUCUGCACACGUAACACGUAAGAAACUGUAAAAAUGGCAAAAACUCAUGAAGGCGAAUGCACUUCAACAUGAACUUGAUUUAAAUAGCGUUUUAUCUGUCUUCUGUUGUCACCAGUAAUAAAUUGGUGAUCGUCUAAACGCUUGGGGAAAUAUUUGUCCUGUAUGAUGCAUAAUGAAUUGGGAGUUUUUAACCCAAUGCGAGAAAUCCAUUCUAUUCCAGCAUACGUAUUUCAAAAAUAAAAUUGCACAUAUUUUAUUGUACAUCCUCCUAGUUUAACGACUGAUAACGCAGCUUGAUAUGAUAAAUUGUUCAUUUGAUAUAGCAAACAUGAACUGAAAAUGGAAACGGUUUUAUAAUACCGUCACGACUCUGUACGUGAACGGAAACAAAAUCUAAGAAUGGUUCCAUUUUUAGCCGUUGUAUGGGAUUGUUCUUGGAUUUAAUCAUUUCUUAUAUGUUUAUGACAAAUAAAGUUUCAAGCAAACAGA